UACGUAGGGUGCGAGCGUUAAUCGGAAUUACUGGGCGUAAAGUGUGCGUAGGCGGCGUCGCAAGUCGAGUGUGAAAGCCCCGAGCUUAACUUGGGAACUGCGCUCGAAACUACGGUGCUCGAGUGUGGCAGAGGGAGGUGGAAUUCCACGUGUAGCGGUGAAAUGCGUAGAGAUGUGGAGGAACACCAAUGGCGAAGGCAGCCUCCUGGGCCAACACUGACGCUCAUGCACGAAAGCGUGGGGAGCAAACAGG
RNAcentral lists this unclassified non-coding RNA (253 nucleotides) under uncultured Gammaproteobacteria bacterium. RNAcentral's name for it is "contains 16S-23S intergenic spacer region". It matches the Rfam family "Bacterial small subunit ribosomal RNA", at positions 524 to 776 of the family's 1533-position model. The record is from RNAcentral. Lineage: Bacteria; Pseudomonadati; Pseudomonadota; Gammaproteobacteria.